CAAAUACUCUCUCCGUCCCAUAUUAAGUGACUUUCUAUUACAUGUAUCUAGACGCUUUUUAGACAUAGAUACAUCCAUAUUUGGAUAAAUUUGAGUCACUUAAUAUGGGACGGAGGGAGUACAAG
Molecule: non-coding RNA, 125 nt
Organism: Brachypodium distachyon (stiff brome)
Lineage: Eukaryota; Viridiplantae; Streptophyta; Magnoliopsida; Poales; Poaceae
Source: Rfam